This 144-nucleotide small nucleolar RNA is filed under the name Bombyx mori (domestic silkworm). RNAcentral's name for it is "Bm_119". The record is from RNAcentral. Lineage: Eukaryota; Metazoa; Arthropoda; Insecta; Lepidoptera; Bombycidae.
AUUGGACCACAAAGUUUGGAGAUCUCGCNGUUUAACAAUUAAUAUCUGAGGUUAAGUUCCGGAGUGCAUACAGUAAUAUGUGUUUGUCGUACUCCCCAUCGAUGUAUGUUGUCGACUGUGGGCAGUAGCAUUCACACCACUUUU